Molecule: long non-coding RNA, 823 nt
Organism: Herpailurus yagouaroundi (jaguarundi)
Lineage: Eukaryota; Metazoa; Chordata; Mammalia; Carnivora; Felidae
Exons: 4
Source: RefSeq, a predicted model, not a curated record
GGCUUUCAGCUGUUUCCUCAAGACUCCUGGUAACCUCUUGAAAAAGCCGUAUUUAUUGUAUGUGUGUUUUAACAUUAUAAAUGUAAUCUGCAUUUGAUGCACAAAACCCAGAAGAGUAAAAAGAAGCGAAAACUCGUGACAGUCCCACUACCAAGGACACGCUCAUUGGCAAAACCCAACCAGAAGCCAGAGCAGAGAGCCUGGGCACUGUGUCCUAUAGAGGUUACAGAUCCAAGUUCACAGGCCAAGGUCGAGAGACGUGGAGAAUGGGUCUCAUGGCAAGCAGAAGCAGAGAGAAUUAGCCAGGAUAAAGACGAGAAGAAAAUUAAAAAUCCUUCGGAAGUCCACCCUCCAGAGCUCUCUGACGCAGUGGAGACAUGGAGAACGUAGAAAGAACGGUGCCCUGGCAUGCCUGCCUAGGGGCUGUGCCAUCUGCAGGCUGUGACUGUCAUGUCAUAUCUGUGAAGACUCCCGUCCUGGGCUGCUGUGGAGCCUCAUUCUUCUCCACCCCCAUUUCCCAGGACAUGAAGAGAGGGGUGCCCAUGGACGCAGCACUCUGGAUGGUGUCCUGAUAUUUUGGACAGACAAUUGCUUGUUCAUGUUCACUGAGGAAGAGGAAGUCGAGUAUUGUGUAAUUAAACGGAAUCAGGAGAAUUUACGCUGAUAUUUGGUAAGCCAUUUCCUCUUCUUACUACAAGUGUCUGAUACAUGCUUUUCCCGAUAAGUAGCAGAACUGCUGUUCUCAUCAGAAAUUUCGGAGCUGAAAUAGAAAUCUCUGAGGGGCUGUUUGACUUUGAGGUGGCGUUUUUGUAAGGAUUUUUUG